UUGAAUCAUUUACGACAGCAUUGAAAAAGGAAGCAUUGUAGCAACAGUGAGAAACAACAAAAGCCACAUUUGAUGUUGCAGUAGUACAUUGACUGAAGCGUAGAUUUGUAUUACAUUUGCCAUCUUCUCUUAACGACAGGGACGCCAACAUAGACAGCUGUGCCUGAAAGUAUGGCCACUCUCUUUACUUCAAGCAAUCAACUGCUUUCAAGGUGACAUAACCUGCUGAAAUGAUCGAGGAGCUGCGUGUCCUCUUUGAAGCAAGUCCUUAUUUGCAGGCCACAUCAAAAACUCAUUCAGAUAUCAAGCACAUCAUGCGACAGUCCAGAUUGGCUGUAAAGUGCGCCUCGUCUUUUCCAAUCUGUAUGAUGCUAAACUAAAAUAAAAGUCCAAAAGUCAAUGGAGGCCAUUUCUGAUGUUUGUAAUGAUUGGGUGAUAUUUUUAUGAGCUUUUGAAGAAGGAUAUCAUCACCUUUCUUGUCGUGCAAAUCUACAAGGUUAAUUUGAGUAUGCAAGGCUUUGAUGCUUAUCAUAGCAUCAGUCUCCAUGAAAAUAGAAUUGGAUUUGUCAUUUGGACCGCUAUGGAUGCCUCGUACAAUCGCCUCAACAAGAACAAAGGGAUCGGCAUUUGCAGGAGGAAGACGCCACUGCUUUUAUCUUCUCUUUCCCAAAAGAAAUGCAAUAUGCAAGGAAGUUUCUCAGCUCAGCUGAGGCUAAAAGUCAACAGGUAAUGCUGAGUUCCAUUAUCUGCAUGAUGGAACCUUUAAGGACAUCACUCUAGCUUGCUCUUAUCCUGAGUUGCUCCCUACUUAGCAGUGGGUAAAAGUCAGCUUGAGAUGCGACUUAUUGUGGCCCUGAUUGUGACUGGGGGAUUUAACAGGACAUCUCAAUUGCGAGAAAUGAGAGAGAUGUAAUUACUGCUCCUAUCAUCCACACCAAAGGCCCCUUCUUUCUUUCCUUAUCCAACCUCAGGAACAACCAAGUGGCAAUGGAUUCAAAUCACUGUCUUCGUUGUCCCAAUUACUAUUUUGUCAAUGCCUUCCCCUCUCAGAUGUUUUGUCAGACAGGGAGAGAUACACUGUGUAUUCUCAAACGAUCAAUAGCUGAAAAUAUAUAUUUAGUAUGAUGCAGAUGAAUUAAAAUAGCUCAAAAUAUGUUUUAGUAGUACAGCAUAGGAUUUCUGUGUUGAUGAACAAUCAUCUAAAGGCCAAAGCAAUCUACUAAAAUGGACAGGGCAGCCUCUGUCCCAAUGCCUUGUUGUGGUUGGUGUGAUUUGGCUUGGCUUACAACAAGGGAAGGCUCUUCCCUUUUCUUUGCUUUGCUCCCUUCGUCGCUUGGGCUCGAGCUAUCGGCAUACAAGAUUGAGCUGCAUCUUCUGCAAAGCCUUUCUAGCUCUGCAGAGCAGAUCUCUACCACGCUUGGCAUCUGUAAUUGACUGAUACAGAACCAAGAAGAAGAAGAAGAAGAGAACGAUGUUUGAAGUAGUAUGUGAAGGAAGCUAAUGGCUGUAAUGGAGAUGUGGAGAAUCAAGACAAUGCCUGUGGUCUUAUAGCAAGUUCUCACCUUCAAAACAGGGGGUCAUAGUUGUGCCAGCCCACAGGCUUUCUUCGGUGCUCUGCGGCGAGGUGAAGCAGCCCCUUGAAUCAGGAGGUCGCUUCCAG
Molecule: long non-coding RNA, 1660 nt
Filed under: Musa acuminata (dwarf banana)
Lineage: Eukaryota; Viridiplantae; Streptophyta; Magnoliopsida; Zingiberales; Musaceae
Description: long non-coding RNA (MACU_LNC003815)
Source: RNAcentral